AAUAGAUACCCUGGUAGUCCACGCCGUAAACGAUGGAUACUAGCUGUUCGUCCGCCUCGGCGGAUGAGUGGCUAGGCGAAAGUGAUAAGUAUCCCACCUGGGGAGUACGAACGCAAGUUUGAAACUCAAAGGAAUUGACGGGGGCCCGCACAAGCGGUGGAGCAUGUGGUUUAAUUCGAUGAUACGCGAGGAACCUUACCAAGGCUUAAAUGUAGAUUGACAGGACUGGAAACAGUUUUUUCUUCGGACAAUUUACAAGGUGCUGCAUGGUUGUCGUCAGCUCGUGCCGUGAGGUGUCAGGUUAAGUCCUAUAACGAGCGCAACCCCUGUUGUUAGUUGCCAGCGAGUCAAGUCGGGAACUCUAACAAGACUGCCAGUGUAAACUGUGAGGAAGGUGGGGAUGACGUCAAAUCAUCACGGCCCUUACGCCUUGGGCUACACACGUGCUACAAUGGCCGGUACAGAGAGCAGCCACUGCGCGAGCAGGAGCGAAUCUAUAAAAACCGGUCACAGUUCGGAUCGGAGUCUGCAACACG
Molecule: ribosomal RNA, 536 nt
Filed under: uncultured bacterium
Lineage: Bacteria
Description: bacterial SSU rRNA
Rfam family: Bacterial small subunit ribosomal RNA
Source: RNAcentral